RNA transcript from Gossypium raimondii (Peruvian cotton), 1141 nucleotides. It is a transcript of the gene named protein LITTLE ZIPPER 2, with no coding region annotated. The transcript is spliced from 2 exons. The record is from RefSeq and is a predicted model, not a curated record. NCBI's taxonomy places the organism in Eukaryota, Viridiplantae, Streptophyta, Magnoliopsida, Malvales, Malvaceae.
UACGCACGAGGUGCAUGCAGACACUUCAGUUUGCUGUGGGGGCUUUCCCAUUUGAAAGAUAUAUCUUCUAGUUUGUCUAUGAGCUAUUUGAUUGGUUAGUUUAACUUUGUUUUUCCAUCAUAAUUAAAAUGAGAUGAUUAAUGGAGUUUGAGGGGUGGAACAAGAAAGAGACCUCGGGGAUGCACAUAUAGAACCUUCCAUGUCCUUCUGGGUUUUAUAUAUAUGAAUAUAAAUAUAGUCAUCAAACAUUUGGGGUUUGCUUACCUUAGCAAUCAUGAGUCCACCAGCUAUCAUUACAACUGAAGAGAAAUCCCUCUUUGCUCUUCUUUUUCCCUCUCUCAUAAUUUAUUACAUAGCCACCAGCCAGCCCACCAGUGAAAUUUAUUCACCAGACCAAACUAUAUUUAUAGCACCUUAUAUCCUUCUUCUUCCUCCCAAUUCCCCCCCCCCCCUCUCUUCAUUUUCAAUUAUAUACAUACCUAAACAAGAUGUGUAAAAACAUGGAUUGGAGUCCAUUCCCAUCUCAUCCCACCAUUGCUUCUUCAAAGAGAAGGCAUAGAUUAAAACAUUCUAAGGUUCAAAUUUACAGGCUUUCCAGGAAAAGAUGGGAAGAAAAUAUGAAGAAAGACAUGGAACUAAUGAACUUGAAGCUGUACUUAGAGAACCAAAGUAUCAUUGAAGAGAAUGAGAAGUUAAGGAAGAAAGCCAGUCUUCUCCAACAAGAGAACUUAGCUUUAAUGUCGGAGUACCAGAAGAAGUUUCCUCAUUUGGAUCGUUUUUCAACCACCCUUUUGCUUCUUCUGCAACAAAAACACUGAUGAUAUAAAGCUUAAGAAAAAAUUAAUUAUCUGCAUAAAUCGAUGUAUGUUAGCAACAACAUGGGAUUUUGUAGCUUGAUAUUUUUGUUUUCAACUCUGAUUAAGAUAAAAUGAUUUCCAUGUAUCACCAGAAUUCUCCAUUUGUUUCACAUAUAUGCUAUAUAUAUAGUUUGCCUUUUUCAGCAAGGAAUAGAGGAACUAAUGGCAGAAAGUAUGAUUUAUAAGGUUAGGGUUGGAGAGUCAUUUAUCCAUUUCAUUUGAUGAUAUUAUUGACAAGCUUGUAAACAUACAUGAUUGGUUUAAAGAUUUAAGCUUUACUCUGA